UACGAAGGGGGCUAGCGUUGCUCGGAAUCACUGGGCGUAAAGGGUGCGUAGGCGGGUCUUUAAGUCAGGGGUGAAAUCCUGGAGCUCAACUCCAGAACUGCCUUUGAUACUGAGGAUCUUGAGUCCGGGAGAGGUGAGUGGAACUGCGAGUGUAGAGGUGAAAUUCGUAGAUAUUCGCAAGAACACCAGUGGCGAAGGCGGCUCACUGGCCCGGUACUGACGCUGAGGCGCGAGAGCGUGGGUAGCAAACAGG
Molecule: ribosomal RNA, 253 nt
Filed under: uncultured bacterium
Lineage: Bacteria
Description: partial 16S ribosomal RNA
Rfam family: Bacterial small subunit ribosomal RNA
Source: RNAcentral